RNAcentral lists this ribosomal RNA (253 nucleotides) under uncultured bacterium. Its description in RNAcentral is "partial 16S ribosomal RNA". It matches the Rfam family "Bacterial small subunit ribosomal RNA", at positions 524 to 776 of the family's 1533-position model. The record is from RNAcentral.
UACGUAGGGUGCAAGCGUUACUCGGAAUUACUGGGCGUAAAGCGUGCGCAGGCGGUUAUGCAAGACAGAUGUGAAAUCCCCGGGCUCAACCUGGGAACUGCAUUUGUGACUGCAUGGCUAGAGUACGGUAGAGGGGGAUGGAAUUCCGCGUGUAGCAGUGAAAUGCGUAGAUAUGCGGAGGAACACCGAUGGCGAAGGCAAUCCCCUGGACCUGUACUGACGCUCAUGCACGAAAGCGUGGGGAGCAAACAGG